GACGAACGCUGGCGGCGUGCCUAAUACAUGCAAGUAGAACGCACAGUUUAUACCGUAGCUUGCUACACCAUAAACUGUGAGUUGCGAACGGGUGAGUAACGCGUAGGUAACCUGCCUGGUAGCGGGGGAUAACUAUUGGAAACGAUAGCUAAUACCGCAUAAUAUUGAUUAUUGCAUGAUAAUUGAUUGAAAGAUGCUAUUGCAUCACUACCAGAUGGACCUGCGUUGUAUUAGCUAGUAGGUGAGGUAACGGCUCACCUAGGCGACGAUACAUAGCCGACCUGAGAGGGUGAUCGGCCACACUGGGACUGAGACACGGCCCAGACUCCUACGGGAGGCAGCAGUAGGGAAUCUUCGGCAAUGGACGAAAGUCUGACCGAGCAACGCCGCGUGAGUGAAGAAGGUUUUCGGAUCGUAAAGCUCUGUCGUAAGAGAAGAACGGGUGUGAGAGUGGAAAGUUCACACUGUGACGGUAUCUUACCAGAAAGGGACGGCUAACUACGUG
RNAcentral lists this ribosomal RNA (505 nucleotides) under uncultured bacterium. RNAcentral describes it as "partial 16S ribosomal RNA". It matches the Rfam family "Bacterial small subunit ribosomal RNA", at positions 28 to 507 of the family's 1533-position model. The record is from RNAcentral.